AUUUCUGUAGUUGAGGGUAACAACAGUGGUUUUUCAGACCGCAGGGCCCAGAGAGAGACUGGGCAGAAAUA
This 71-nucleotide transfer RNA is filed under the name Tyto alba (common barn owl). RNAcentral describes it as "tRNA-Glu". RNAcentral also lists the same sequence under 2 other names. The record is from RNAcentral. Lineage: Eukaryota; Metazoa; Chordata; Aves; Strigiformes; Tytonidae.